CAGAGGGUGCGAACGUUGCUCGGAAUUACUGGGCGUAAAGCGCGUGUAGGCGGGUCGGCAAGUCAGGCGUGAAAUCCCCAGGCUCAACCUGGGAACUGCGCUUGAAACUGCCGGUCUUGAGUAUCGGAGAGGGUGGCGGAAUUCCUGGUGUAGAGGUGAAAUUCGUAGAUAUCAGGAGGAACACCGGUGGCGAAGGCGGCCACCUGGACGAUUACUGACGCUGAGACGCGAAAGCGUGGGGAGCAAACAGGAUUAGAUACCCUGGUAGUCCACGCCGUAAACGAUGGGUGCUAGGUGUCUCGGGUAUUGACCCCUGAGGUGCCGCAGCUAACGCGUUAAGCACCCCGCCUGGGAAGUACGGCCGCAAGGCUA
RNAcentral lists this ribosomal RNA (372 nucleotides) under uncultured organism. RNAcentral describes it as "bacterial SSU rRNA". It matches the Rfam family "Bacterial small subunit ribosomal RNA", at positions 526 to 896 of the family's 1533-position model. The record is from RNAcentral.